Molecule: non-coding RNA, 24 nt
Filed under: Arabidopsis thaliana (thale cress)
Lineage: Eukaryota; Viridiplantae; Streptophyta; Magnoliopsida; Brassicales; Brassicaceae
Source: RNAcentral
AUCACCAAUUUUUUUGUCCGCCUA